Molecule: non-coding RNA, 45 nt
Filed under: Schistosoma mattheei
Lineage: Eukaryota; Metazoa; Platyhelminthes; Trematoda; Strigeidida; Schistosomatidae
Source: RNAcentral
AUCCAGACGACGAGUCCCAAAUAGGACGAAGCGCGCGUCCUGGAU